AGUGAACGCUGGCGGUAGGCCUAACACAUGCAAGUCGAACGGCAGCACAGUAAGAGCUUGCUCUUACGGGUGGCGAGUGGCGGACGGGUGAGGAAUACAUCGGAAUCUACUUUUUCGUGGGGGAUAACGUAGGGAAACUUACGCUAAUACCGCAUACGACCUACGGGUGAAAGCAGGGGAUCUUCGGACCUUGCGCGAUUGAAUGAGCCGAUGUCGGAUUAGCUAGUUGGCGGGGUAAAGGCCCACCAAGGCGACGAUCCGGAGCUGGUCUGAGAGGAUGAUCAGGCACACUGGAACUGAGACACGGUCCAGACUCCUACGGGAGGCAGCAGUGGGGAAUAUUGGACAAUGGGCGCAAGCCUGAUCCAGCCAUACCGCGUGGGUGAAGAAGGCCUUCGGUUUGUAAAGCCCUUUUGUUGGGAAAGAAAAGCAGCAGGUUAAUACCCCGCUGUUCUGACGGUACCCAAAGAAUAAGCACCGGCUAACUUCGUG
RNAcentral lists this ribosomal RNA (492 nucleotides) under uncultured bacterium. RNAcentral describes it as "partial 16S ribosomal RNA". It matches the Rfam family "Bacterial small subunit ribosomal RNA", at positions 29 to 507 of the family's 1533-position model. The record is from RNAcentral.